This 431-nucleotide long non-coding RNA is filed under the name Nicotiana tabacum (common tobacco). RNAcentral describes it as "long non-coding RNA (NTAB_LNC007723)". Lineage: Eukaryota; Viridiplantae; Streptophyta; Magnoliopsida; Solanales; Solanaceae. The record is from RNAcentral.
AUAGCAUAUGUAAUUUAUAGUUCUGCUAAUAACUCACAAAUCUUCCUAGUGUAAACUGGGGCAGAAAAAGUUUCUUUUGUUGUUUCCAUUUUGUUGUAGUAGCAGGCGCCCAUCUGGAAAAUGAGGAAAUUUAUUAUAAGUAUUAAGUCAACAGCAGGCGCCCACCUGAAAAAUGAGGAAAUUCAUUUCAAAUGUUAAGUCAACAUCAGGCACCCACCUAGAAAAUGAGGGAAUUAAUUUUAAGUUUUUUAAGUCAACAUCAGGCGCCCACCUGGAGAAUGAGGGAAUUCAUUUCUGUUUUAAGUCAGCACAGGCGCCCACCUGGAGAACGAGUGAAUUUAUUUCAAGUUUUUAAGUCAUCAGGCGCCCACCUGGAAAACGAGGGAAUUCAUUUCAGUUUUAAGUCAUCAGGCACCCACCUAGAAAACGAG